RNAcentral lists this unclassified non-coding RNA (230 nucleotides) under Hevea brasiliensis (rubber tree). Lineage: Eukaryota; Viridiplantae; Streptophyta; Magnoliopsida; Malpighiales; Euphorbiaceae. The record is from RNAcentral.
ACCAAAUGCUGCCUUCAGAUAAUACUGCAUAGGCAGUUAUGAAGCAGUCAGGAAAUCUAAAAUCUCUUGGUUCCUUUUUUUUUUCCUGAAUUGGAAAGGAAGCAUAUCUGUACAGCCAACCCAAAUAGUUUGAGGUUCAGCUGAGUUGAGUUUCAUUGAAUAUCUUGUCUGUUCAAUGAUAUCCCUUGUGGUUUAGCUUACUGAAUGAAAAAUAAAAUAAAAUAAAAUAA